RNAcentral lists this ribosomal RNA (268 nucleotides) under uncultured prokaryote. RNAcentral describes it as "partial 16S ribosomal RNA". It matches the Rfam family "Bacterial small subunit ribosomal RNA", at positions 524 to 792 of the family's 1533-position model. The record is from RNAcentral.
UACGUAGGGGGCGAACGUUGCUCGGAAUACUGGGCGUAAAGCGUGCGUAGGUGGCUGAGCAAGUCAAAAAUGAAAUCCCGGGGCCUACCCUCGGAACUGUUUUUGAAACUGCUUAGCUUGAGGAUAGUUGAGGAUAAUGGAAUUCCCGGUGGAGCGGUGAAAUGCGUAGAUAUCGGGAGGAACACCAGAGGCGAAGGCGAUUAUCUGGACUAUUCCUGACACUGAGGUACGAAAGCUAGGGGAGCAAACGGGAUUAGAUACCCCCGUA